GGUUGUAGCUCAGUGGUAGGUCACUUGCCUAGCAUGCACAAGGCUCUGGGUUCAAUCCUCAGUACCAACCA
Molecule: transfer RNA, 71 nt
Filed under: Marmota monax (woodchuck)
Lineage: Eukaryota; Metazoa; Chordata; Mammalia; Rodentia; Sciuridae
Description: tRNA.Ala
Source: RNAcentral